CGGGGUUGGUGUCCCCGUGCAAGGAGGUUGGCGAGGCCUCAGGGGACUCCCAGUUCAGCGAAUCCGUUAGCCUUCCUCUACCUUAGUCACUUCCCCGUGAGGCACUCCGUGUUUGUGUACACGGUUAUUCCACGUGUCAGUCAGUUCAUCGGGCGCAUCUGGAGUCAUUGAAAACAGUAAUAGGAAGUCAAACAAACCCGCUUGAUGCAAAAAUUCAGGAGGACAUUCGGUUUUUAAGGAAAUAGUGCUGAGGAAGGACCAGGCUGGACCUCUUUGGACCCUGAGACUGGGAGGGUCUCGCUCUGUUGCCCAGGCUGGAUGGAGUACAGUGUUGUGACCACAGCUCACUACAGCCUCAACCUCCCAGGCACAAGAGAUCCUCCCACCUCAGCCUCCUGAGUAGCUGGAACUACAGGACAGACCAAUCUGAGGUCAGAGUUAGCAGCAGGAUACAUCCUGGUCCUCUCUUGCCCCUGAGAUCUCGCUGGGGCUGAUGGCACUGCCACUGCUAUGGUUGG
This 518-nucleotide long non-coding RNA is filed under the name Pan troglodytes (chimpanzee). RNAcentral's name for it is "lincRNA". The record is from RNAcentral. Lineage: Eukaryota; Metazoa; Chordata; Mammalia; Primates; Hominidae.